GACGAACGCUGGCGGCGUGCUUAACACAUGCAAGUCGAACGGAAAGGCUCCAGCUUGCUGGAGUACUCGAGUGGCGAACGGGUGAGUAACACGUGGGUAAUCUGCCCUGCACUCUGGGAUAAGCCUGGGAAACUGGGUCUAAUACUGGAUAUGACCUUUCUCCUUAUGGGGUUUGGUGGAAAGUUUUUCGGUGUAGGAUGAGCCCGCGGCCUAUCAGCUUGUUGGUGGGGUGAUGGCCUACCAAGGCGACGACGGGUAGCCGGCCUGAGAGGGUGAUCGGCCACAUUGGGACUGAGAUACGGCCCAGAAUCCUACGGGAGGCAGCAGUGGGGAAUAUUGCACAAUGGGCGGAAGCCUGAUGCAGCGACGCCGCGUGAGGGAUGACGGCCUUCGGGUUGUAAACCUCUUUCAGCAGGGACGAAGCGUAAGUGACGGUACCUGCAGAAGAAGCACCGGCUAACUAUGUG
RNAcentral lists this ribosomal RNA (467 nucleotides) under uncultured bacterium. RNAcentral describes it as "partial 16S ribosomal RNA". It matches the Rfam family "Bacterial small subunit ribosomal RNA", at positions 28 to 507 of the family's 1533-position model. The record is from RNAcentral.